GAUGAACGCUAGCUACAGGCUUAACACAUGCAAGUCGAGGGGCAUCAGGAAGAAAGCUUGCUUUCUUUGCUGGCGACCGGCGCACGGGUGAGUAACACGUAUCCAACCUGCCCUUUACUCGGGGAUAGCCUUUCGAAAGAAAGAUUAAUACCCGAUAGCAUAAUGAUUCCGCAUGGUUUCAUUAUUAAAGGAUUCCGGUAAAGGAUGGGGAUGCGUUCCAUUAGGUUGUUGGUGGGGUAACGGCCCACCAAGCCUUCGAUGGAUAGGGGUUCUGAGAGGAAGGUCCCCCACAUUGGAACUGAGACACGGUCCAAACUCCUACGGGAGGCAGCAGUGAGGAAUAUUGGUCAAUGGGCGCUAGCCUGAACCAGCCAAGUAGCGUGAAGGAUGAAGGCUCUAUGGGUCGUAAACUUCUUUUAUAUAAGAAUAAAGUGCAGUAUGUAUACUGUUUUGUAUGUAUUAUAUGAAUAAGGAUCGGCUAACUCCGUGCCAGCAGCCGCGGUAAUACGGAGGAUCCGAGCGUUAUCCGGAUUUAUUGGGUUUAAAGGGAGCGUAGGUGGACUGGUAAGUCAGUUGUGAAAGUUUGCGGCUCAACCGUAAAAUUGCAGUUGAUACUGUCAGUCUUGAGUACAGUAGAGGUGGGCGGAAUUCGUGGUGUAGCGGUGAAAUGCUUAGAUAUCACGAAGAACUCCGAUUGCGAAGGCAGCUCACUGGACUGCAACUGACACUGAUGCUCGAAAGUGUGGGUAUCAAACAGGAUUAGAUACCCUGGUAGUCCACACAGUAAACGAUGAAUACUCGCUGUUUGCGAUAUACAGUAAGCGGCCAAGCGAAAGCAUUAAGUAUUCCACCUGGGGAGUACGCCGGCAACGGUGAAACUCAAAAGGAAUUGACGGGGGCCCGCACAAGCGGAGGAACAUGUGGUUUAAUUCGAUGAUACGCGAGGAACCUUACCCGGGCUUAAAUUGCAGUGGAAUGAUGUGGAAACAUGUCAGUGAGCAAUCACCGCUGUGAAGGUGCUGCAUGGUUGUCGUCAGCUCGUGCCGUGAGGUGUCGGCUUAAGUGCCAUAACGAGCGCAACCCUUAUCUUCAGUUACUAACAGGUCAUGCUGAGGACUCUGGAGAGACUGCCGUCGUAAGAUGUGAGGAAGGUGGGGAUGACGUCAAAUCAGCACGGCCCUUACGUCCGGGGCUACACACGUGUUACAAUGGGGGGUACAGAAGGCAGCUAGCGGGUGACCGUAUGCUAAUCCCAAAAGCCUCUCUCAGUUCGGAUCGAAGUCUGCAACCCGACUUCGUGAAAGCUGGAUUCGCUAGUAAUCGCGCAUCAGCCACGGCGCGGUGAAUACGUUCCCGGGCCU
RNAcentral lists this ribosomal RNA (1361 nucleotides) under uncultured bacterium. RNAcentral describes it as "bacterial SSU rRNA". It matches the Rfam family "Bacterial small subunit ribosomal RNA", at positions 28 to 1381 of the family's 1533-position model. The record is from RNAcentral.